Molecule: long non-coding RNA, 779 nt
Organism: Physeter macrocephalus (sperm whale)
Lineage: Eukaryota; Metazoa; Chordata; Mammalia; Artiodactyla; Physeteridae
Exons: 3
Source: RefSeq, a predicted model, not a curated record
CAACAUGAGAGAGAUUUCCAGCUGCAACUGCAGCCACUUCUCAGACAACACAUCGUACGGGUGACUACUCUUUACUCCAAUAAAUAGCAGCUACAUUGGAUAGAACGAGAGACAGCUGUCAUGGAUGAAUUUGGAUCAGAUGAAUGUAACCUAAAGGUCCAGUGGAGAUCACCUUGAGGAGAAUCAUCACGGCUACAUGCAAUGCAUUUGAAGCUGACUCCCUGACCACCUUUAACAGCAUGAACUUCAGAAACGCCUCUGCCAGCUCCAGCUUCCUCAUCUGAAACAGGCUGCUAUGAGAAUUAAGUGAUAUGUAGAUGCAAAGCAUGAGGCCUACAAUCCCAAUACUUGAAAAAUGUUCACGGUGACUACAUCCAGCCUACUGGACUACCUAUGGAGAGAAGUCAACUAACAACACAUAAAAAUCCCCACCAGUGAAGGAAAGGCAUGAAAACCCACAUGGAGAAGAUGAAAAUGCUGGACAACUGGAUGCCAGCCCCAGGGCCCUGGUCCACAUGCUCAGGGAAAGUACUGCAGCCCCAGGAGAGGCCAUCUAUCUCCCAAGUAAGCCAACUUUCUAACCUGGCACUCUAGAGCAUCAUAUGUGAGUCACCCCAACCUCAGAGCCUGGGCCCAGCGAGAAAGAGGUCUGCUUCCAGGGAGCAGGAGGACAGGACAAGUUUCCGGAAACGCCUGCCUACGGGUGCUGGGAUCCUUGCUCCACCUCUUCCCGACCCCUGGAGGGUCAGGUCUUCUCUGGAGGUUCCACAGGGCACAGA